RNAcentral lists this ribosomal RNA (460 nucleotides) under uncultured bacterium. RNAcentral's name for it is "partial 16S ribosomal RNA". It matches the Rfam family "Bacterial small subunit ribosomal RNA", at positions 338 to 795 of the family's 1533-position model. The record is from RNAcentral.
CCUACUGGAGACUGCAGUGAGGAAUAUUGGUCAAUGGACGCGAGUCUGAACCAGCCAAGUAGCGUGAAGGAUGACUGCCCUAUGGGUUGUAAACUUCUUUUAUAUGGGAAUAAACUGUUCCACGUGUGGGAUUUUGUAUGUACCUUAUGAAUAAGGAUCGGCUAACUCCGUGCCAGCAGCCGCGGUAAUACGGAGGAUCCGAGCGUUAUCCGGAUUUAUUGGGUUUAAAGGGAGCGUAGAUGGAUUGUUAAGUCAGUUGUGAAAGUUUGCGGCUCAACCGUAAAAUUGCAGUUGAAACUGGCAGUCUGGAGUACAGUAGAGGUGGGCGGAAUUCGUGGUGUAGCGGUGAAAUGCUUAGAUAUCACGAAGAACUCCGAUUGCGAAGGCAGUUCACUGGACUGCAACUGACACUGAGGCUCGAAAGUGUGGGUAUCAAACAGGAUUAGAUACCCGUGUAGUC